UACGUAGGGGGCUAGCGUUGUCCGGAAUUAUUGGGCGUAAAGAGCGUGUAGGCGGUUCGAUAAGUUUGCUGUAAAAGUCAAGGGCUCAACCCUUGAAAGCCGGUGAAUACUGUCGGACUAGAGUACGGAAGAGGCGAGUGGAAUUCCACGUGUAGCGGUGAAAUGCGUAGAGAUGUGGAGGAACACCUGUGGCGAAAGCGGCGCACUGGACCAUAACUGACGCUGAUGCGCGAAAGCUAGGGGAGCAAACAGG
This 253-nucleotide ribosomal RNA is filed under the name uncultured bacterium. RNAcentral describes it as "partial 16S ribosomal RNA". It matches the Rfam family "Bacterial small subunit ribosomal RNA", at positions 524 to 776 of the family's 1533-position model. The record is from RNAcentral.